UACGUAGGGUUCGAGCGUUGUCCGGAAUUAUUGGGCGUACAGGGCUCGUAGGCGGUUUGUCGCGUCGGGAGUGAAAUCCACUGGCUUAACUGGUGGCUUGCUUUCGAUACGGGCAGACUGGAGGUAUGCAGGGGAGAACGGAAUUCCUGGUGUAGCGGUGAAAUGCGCAGAUAUCAGGAGGAACACCGGUGGCGAAGGCGGUUCUCUGGGCAUGUCCUGACGCUGAGGAGCGAAAGUGUGGGGAGCGAACAGG
This 253-nucleotide ribosomal RNA is filed under the name uncultured bacterium. RNAcentral's name for it is "partial 16S ribosomal RNA". It matches the Rfam family "Bacterial small subunit ribosomal RNA", at positions 524 to 776 of the family's 1533-position model. The record is from RNAcentral.